AUGCAGGCCGUGAAAGAUAAGCUCCAAGACAUGAAUGCCAUGCGCAAGGCCAAAGCAGAAGCAAAGGCCGAGGAAAAGGCGGAGAAGGAAAUUAUGCAAGCCAGAAAGGACAUAGCUAAGGAGGUUAGAUUGGCAAAAGAAGCUGAAGCAGCUAUGGACUUACAUGUGACAAAAGCAGGAGAAAGAGCAGAGAAAGAAAUACAAAAGCAUGCACCCAUUGAUCCAAAUGCAAAUUCAGUAAAUACAGUUGAUACAAUGCAACCUCCAUCAGAUAAUCCCACAUACACAGCUAUGUGA
Non-coding RNA from Vicia faba (fava bean), 297 nucleotides. The record is from the annotation of a GenBank genome assembly. NCBI's taxonomy places the organism in Eukaryota, Viridiplantae, Streptophyta, Magnoliopsida, Fabales, Fabaceae.